AAAAGACAUUAUGACUUGUCUUGCUCUCUCAUGGAUCUCUCUCUCUCUGGGAGAAGCCAGCUGCCAGGUCAUGAGGUUACCCAAGCAGCCCUGUGGAGGCACUCUUAUGGGUGCUGUUACUGUUGGCCCAAGAACACAUUUUGAGAAGACUGGCCUAGAGGAACCAAUAAUGUGGGUUUCUUAUGGGCAGGAUGGCACUGGAGAAGAGGGUGAGGCUCAGUGUCUUCUCCCAAAUUUUCAUAUCAAAUAAAACCUCUUUCCCCGGAGAGAAGUAACAAGAGAGGCAGAGGGAAAUGAUUCUAACAGAAGUUCUAGCCACAUGGAAGGAAGCAUUAGCAGUGAGGAAUAACUGUUCUCUCCCUAAACAUACCACCCAAGGUAAUG
RNAcentral lists this long non-coding RNA (384 nucleotides) under Homo sapiens (human). RNAcentral describes it as "non-protein coding lnc-DIAPH3-3:3". The record is from RNAcentral. Lineage: Eukaryota; Metazoa; Chordata; Mammalia; Primates; Hominidae.